This 73-nucleotide transfer RNA is filed under the name Ixodes scapularis (black-legged tick). Its description in RNAcentral is "tRNA-Thr". It matches the Rfam family "tRNA". From Rfam's summary of the family: Transfer RNA (tRNA) molecules are approximately 80 nucleotides in length. Lineage: Eukaryota; Metazoa; Arthropoda; Arachnida; Ixodida; Ixodidae. The record is from RNAcentral.
CGCUGGUUAGCUCAGUUGGUAGAGCGCUCCACCUGUAAUGGAGAGGUCCCGGGUUCGAUACCCGGACCAGGCG